CAGACCCAUGGACAAACAUCCUAUAGAGAGAUGGUGAUGGCAACCUCAGAUGACGAUGGUGAUGACAGUGGCACAUUCAGGUACCAAUGACGAUGGUGAUGGCAGGCUGAGGCGAUAAUAGUGAUGACAACGGCAGACCAUUCAAUUCCACUGUCGCUCAUAUUUAAACCCUCCUGAUUUCGGAACUGAUUUUGGCCUUUUUCAUAUAAAAUUGUCUAAUAGGUUGAUGGAUAUGAGUCUUGAAGCAUCAUCUGAUGGAUUUGACUGGUGUAUAUGUCGAUGCUACCGGUAGUGCUUCACUAUAUGUGGCCACAAAUGAUUCUGUUUAUCAGAUUUUGGACGUUGGCUCUGCAAAGCCUGAUUUCGGAUCUGAUUUUGGCCUUUUCAUAUAAAAUUGUCUCAUAGGUUGAUUGAUAUGGGUCUUGAAGCAUCAUAUGAUGGAUUUGACUGCAAGAUUGUGUUUUUGGAGGAGGGUGUAGAUGUUGAUGCUACCGGUAGUGCUUCACUAUUUGCAGCCACAAAUGAUUCUGUUUAUCAGGUUAUUUACCUCCACAUAUACAGGCUAUGAUUUCGUAGGCACACAACCAUUUAUGCCCACACUUCAAUGAAGGUCGCUACCUCAUAGGUAUAAUCAAUGUUAUAAAAGAGGCCGUCAUAAACUUCAACUUCUCCAAAGACCUUUAACAGUGAUGCAAGUUCCUGAACAACAUGAUUUCACUGAGAAUAUACGUGCUUAUGAAUUAUAAUUGUAUGUUCUCGAUGACGUCAUUGGUGCAAAGAUUGAUGACUCAAUCAACAAUGGUUCAAGCCCUUAUGUCUUUAAGUACACCGGGAAGAUGUUGGAGGAAAUGGCAGAGUUUUGUGUAUGGGGAAUGGUUUCGGGACCAAGUCAAGGCGGACGGAGUAGCGAUGAUACGUGAUAUUUUUGGCAGCCAAGUUGGAGGUAUUAGGCGCCUGAAAUCGGUGGCCAAAAGGUACCGAAUAGUAGUGAUUUUGGGAUGCCAAGCAAACAUCACAUGGGAUAACAAUGUUGGGUGUUUCAGAUUUGGUUUGUGGCCGAUAGUAGCGUUAGAAUCACAUGUCCAUAAGCAGAUU
This 1095-nucleotide long non-coding RNA is filed under the name Helianthus annuus (common sunflower). The record is from RNAcentral. Lineage: Eukaryota; Viridiplantae; Streptophyta; Magnoliopsida; Asterales; Asteraceae.